Molecule: ribosomal RNA, 540 nt
Filed under: Triticum aestivum (bread wheat)
Lineage: Eukaryota; Viridiplantae; Streptophyta; Magnoliopsida; Poales; Poaceae
Description: partial small subunit ribosomal RNA
Source: RNAcentral
AUGGCGGCGUCCUCCUCCUCCCCGGCGGCGGCGGCGGUUGGGCGAGCGGUGGAGGAGGUGCGUUCGGCGCUGAACGAGCACGCUGACGUGGUGGCCGAGCUCUUCGGCCGCGUCUCCACCGAGCUCCGCGGCGGGUUCGGCCCCGCCGUCGACACUUUCGUCGGCUUCUUCCACGCCGUUGACUGGAAGGAACCUUGGUUGAUCGGCAUGAUAAGUUUCCAUGUCAUUCUGCUACUGGUAACCAUCAUCUCCAGGAGGAACAUCAAUUUCCAACUUAUCUUGUCAGCUUUAACAUUUUCUGGUGUAUUCCUUGCCGAGAAAAUAAACACGUUCUUAGGACAAAACUGGAAGAGCUUCUCAAGCCAGAAUUACUUUGAUCCCCAAGGCCUCUUCAUCUCGGUCAUGUGGUCCGGUCCCUUGCUCCUGAUUACGAUACUUAUUCUGGUGAACACCCUUGUGACGCUCUGCAUGCUCAUGGUAAGGUGGAAAAGGGCCGAGCUCAAGCACCGUGCUCGUGAGGCCCGUAGCAAGCAGGAGUGA